CGAGGCGUAGCCAAACUGGAUAACGCACCCCGCUUCGAACGGGAAGAUUAUAGGAGUUCGAAUCUCCUCGCCUCGGCCA
This 79-nucleotide transfer RNA is filed under the name Pseudomonas sp. Leaf58. RNAcentral describes it as "tRNA-Arg". It matches the Rfam family "tRNA". From Rfam's summary of the family: Transfer RNA (tRNA) molecules are approximately 80 nucleotides in length. Their secondary structure includes four short double-helical elements and three loops (D, anti-codon, and T loops). The record is from RNAcentral. Lineage: Bacteria; Pseudomonadati; Pseudomonadota; Gammaproteobacteria; Pseudomonadales; Pseudomonadaceae.